Molecule: long non-coding RNA, 693 nt
Filed under: Vulpes vulpes (red fox)
Lineage: Eukaryota; Metazoa; Chordata; Mammalia; Carnivora; Canidae
Description: lncRNA (ENSVVUG00000002763.1)
Source: RNAcentral
UCAGUCCCUCCCUCCCGCGCGCGCGCGUCCCCGCCGCGGGACUACUUUCCGUCGCCGCGCGCCCCGCCCCCUGCGUCCCCUCCACUCGCCUCCCCGGCGGAGGGGCACCUCUCGGCGGCCUCGUGACGCGUCCCUGUGUGAGCCGCGCCGCUAUUGGGUCCGCGCCGCGGAGGAAAUGAGAGCGCGGCGCCGAUUGGUCCGGCCUUCCCUGCAAUGCGUCAAACUGGGGCGAGCCACUGCGUGGUGGUGGUGGGGAAGCCCGAGGUGUGUGGCUGCGAGAAGCCGUGAGGUGUAACGAGGCGAAGGGAGACGCUUUGUGGCUGUUAGAGAUGCAAAUAUAUCGUCUCGGUGGUCGGGGGGUGGUAAAAGGGCUGGCGGAAGAUGCAGGAGGACUAUCCGGGCUCUCCCCUCUAACAGAUGGAAGAUGGUGCGAUCCAAAAUUCUGGGGUCUGGAAGCCCCGCCCCCAACUGGGCCCUAGGAGGUGGCGGGGUCUUCAAGGUUCUGCUCCUCCAGGGAGGUUUCCACCUGUCCAGGCGGGUGUCUGCGCCCUGAGAGACUCCGCAGAUGGCCUUUGGGGAUCCAGUUUCCUUUUCUCUUGUGGUUCUGCGGUCCCCCGCAUACUCAGAAUUCUCUUCUGGAUCCAUGGUCUAGUGAGAACCUGGGGGAAGAAAGAACAUCCGAGGACCAUAUGA